GCGAACGCUGGCGGCAGGCCUAACACAUGCAAGUCGAACGCACUCUUCGGAGUUAGUGGCGGACGGGUGAGUAACACGUGGGAACGUGCCUUUUGGUUCGGAAUAACUCAGGGAAACUUGUGCUAAUACCGAAUGUGCCCUUCGGGGGAAAGAUUUGUCGCCAUUAGAGCGGCCCGCGUCUGAUUAGCUAGUUGGUGAGGUAACGGCUCACCAAGGCGACGAUCAGUAGCUGGUCUGAGAGGAUGACCAGCCACACGGGGACUGAGACACGGCCCAGACUCCUCCGGGAGGCAGCAGGGGGGAUUCUUGCGAAGGGGGCGAAAGCCUGACGCACCCGUGCCGGGUAAAUAAUGAAGUUCUUAGGAUUGAAAAUUUUUUCCCCCGGGGCGGAUAAGGAGGUUCCCGGGAGGGGAGCCCCCGCCUAAUUUGGUC
This 432-nucleotide ribosomal RNA is filed under the name uncultured bacterium. RNAcentral describes it as "partial 16S ribosomal RNA". It matches the Rfam family "Bacterial small subunit ribosomal RNA", at positions 29 to 507 of the family's 1533-position model. The record is from RNAcentral.